This 301-nucleotide ribosomal RNA is filed under the name uncultured bacterium. RNAcentral describes it as "partial 16S ribosomal RNA". It matches the Rfam family "Bacterial small subunit ribosomal RNA", at positions 509 to 807 of the family's 1533-position model. The record is from RNAcentral.
CAGUAGCCACGGGAAUACGUAGGGCGCAAGCGUUGUCCGGAAUUAUUGGGCGUAAAGAGCUCGUAGGCGGUCUGUCGCGUCUGGUGUGAAAUCCCGAGGCUCAACCUCGGGCUUGCAUCGGGUACGGGCAGACUAGAGUGCGGUAGGGGAGACUGGAAUUCCUGGUGUAGCGGUGGAAUGCGCAGAUAUCAGGAGGAACACCGAUGGCGAAGGCAGGUCUCUGGGCCGCAACUGACGCUGAGGAGCGAAAGCAUGGGGAGCGAACAGGAUUAGAUACCCCGGUAGUCCCUGUCCCUUAUAC